GACGAACGCUGGCGGCGUGCUUAACACAUGCAAGUCGAACGGAAAGGCCCUGCUUUUGUGGGGUGCUCGAGUGGCGAACGGGUGAGUAACACGUGAGUAACCUGCCCUUGACUUUGGGAUAACUUCAGGAAACUGGGGCUAAUACCGGAUAGGAGCUCCUGCUGCAUGGUGGGGGUUGGAAAGUUUCGGCGGUUGGGGAUGGACUCGCGGCUUAUCAGCUUGUUGGUGGGGUAGUGGCUUACCAAGGCUUUGACGGGUAGCCGGCCUGAGAGGGUGACCGGCCACAUUGGGACUGAGAUACGGCCCAGACUCCUACGGGAGGCAGCAGUGGGGAAUAUUGCACAAUGGGCGGAAGCCUGAUGCAGCAACGCCGCGUGCGGGAUGACGGCCUUCGGGUUGUAAACCGCUUUCGCCUGUGACGAAGCGUGAGUGACGGUAAUGGGUAAAGAAGCACCGGCUAACUACGUGCCAGCAGCCGCGGUGAUACGUAGGGUGCGAGCGUUGUCCGGAUUUAUUGGGCGUAAAGGGCUCGUAGGUGGUUGAUCGCGUCGGAAGUGUAAUCUUGGGACUUAACCCUGAGCGUGCUUUCGAUACGGGUUGACUUGAGGAAGGUAGGGGAGAAUGGAAUUCCUGGUGGAGCGGUGGAAUGCGCAGAUAUCAGGAGGAACACCAGUGGCGAAGGCGGUUCUCUGGGCCUUUCCUGACGCUGAGGAGCGAAAGCGUGGGGAGCGAACAGGCUUAGAUACCCUGGUAGUCCACGCUGUAAACGGUGGGUACUAGGUGUGGGGUCCAUUCCACGGGUUCCGUGCCGUAGCUAACGCUUUAAGUACCCCGCCUGGGGAGUACGGCCGCAAGGCUAAAACUCAAAGGAAUUGACGGGGCCCCGCACAAGCGGCGGAGCAUGCGGAUUAAUUCGAUGCAACGCGUAGAACCUUACCUGGGUUUGACAUGGAUCGGGAGUGCUCAGAGAUGGGUGUGCCUCUUUUGGGGUCGGUUCACAGGUGGUGCAUGGCUGUCGUCAGCUCGUGUCGUGAGAUGUUGGGUUAAGUCCCGCAACGAGCGCAACCCUUGUUCACUGUUGCCAGCACGUUAUGGUGGGGACUCAGUGGAGACCGCCGGGGUCAACUCGGAGGAAGGUGGGGAUGACGUCAAGUCAUCAUGCCCCUUAUGUCCAGGGCUUCACGCAUGCUACAAUGGCUGGUACAGAGAGUGGCGAGCCUGUGAGGGUGAGCGAAUCUCGGAAAGCCGGUCUCAGUUCGGAUUGGGUCUGCAACUCGACCUCACGAAGUCGGAGUCGCUAGUAAUCGCAGAUCAGCAACGCUGCGGUGAAUACGUUCCCGGGGCU
This 1345-nucleotide ribosomal RNA is filed under the name uncultured bacterium. RNAcentral's name for it is "partial 16S ribosomal RNA". It matches the Rfam family "Bacterial small subunit ribosomal RNA", at positions 28 to 1381 of the family's 1533-position model. The record is from RNAcentral.